Molecule: ribosomal RNA, 253 nt
Filed under: uncultured prokaryote
Description: partial 16S ribosomal RNA
Rfam family: Bacterial small subunit ribosomal RNA
Source: RNAcentral
AUACAGAGGGGGCAAGCGUUGUUCGGAAUUACUGGGCGUAAAGGGCGCGUAGGCGGCCUGCUAAGUCGGACGUGAAAUCCCCGGGCUCAACCCGGGAACUGCGUCCGAGACUGGUUGGCUCGAAUCCGGGAGAGGGAUGCGGAAUUCCAGGUGUAGCGGUGAAAUGCGUAGAUAUCUGGAGGAACACCGGUGGCGAAGGCGGCAUCCUGGACCGGCAUUGACGCUGAGGCGCGAAAGCCAGGGGAGCAAACGG